UACGGAGGGUGCGAGCGUUGUCCGGAAUCAUUGGGCGUAAAGGGCGCGUAGGUGGCCCGGUCAGUUCGUGGUGAGAGCGCGGGGCUCAACCCUGCGUCGGCCAUGAAUACUGCCGCGGCUGGAGCACUGUAGAGGCAGGCGGAAUUCCGGGUGUAGCGGUGGAAUGCGUAGAGAUCCGGAAGAACACCGGUGGCGAAGGCGGCCUGCUGGGCAGUUGCUGACACUGAGGCGCGACAGCGUGGGGAGCAAACAGG
RNAcentral lists this ribosomal RNA (254 nucleotides) under uncultured bacterium. RNAcentral describes it as "partial 16S ribosomal RNA". It matches the Rfam family "Bacterial small subunit ribosomal RNA", at positions 524 to 776 of the family's 1533-position model. The record is from RNAcentral.